Molecule: non-coding RNA, 1583 nt
Organism: Ictidomys tridecemlineatus (thirteen-lined ground squirrel)
Lineage: Eukaryota; Metazoa; Chordata; Mammalia; Rodentia; Sciuridae
Source: RefSeq, a predicted model, not a curated record
UUCUGGGGGCAGCACGGUUUCUGGGGGCAGCACGGUUUCUGGGGGCAGCAUGGAGGCUUCUGUGGGCAACACUGGGGUUUUUGAGGGCAGCACGGGGGUUUGGAUGGGCAGCAUGGGGGGGACUUGGGUGGGCAGCACGGGCUGCAUUUCGGUGGGUCACACAUCUUCCUUAGAUUCGGAGGUCCUGCAAGAAAGAAUGACGUCUUCAUUAGAAAGAAACUUGGGGUCCGCUUUUGCUUUCUUCUACCUUGACUCCCCCGUACACCCCGCUUCAGGAUAAUGGCUCACUCUCUGGGCAGAGCAGGGCCGGGUCCCUCAGAGUCCAUGGCCCUCCCCAUCACCCUGGGCCUCUCCCCCGGGCCAGUGUGUGUGCUCCUAACUGGGUGGUGGCUGUCUUCUAGAUAAGGAAUCAAAAGACCAGAAUCUACAAGAAAUCUGCCUGAAAUCUCCUAGCUGGUGAGGAACAAGGGGCCCGCAGACUGAGGAUGAGUCAGAUUCAGGUGCUCCACAACAGUAUAAAAUCCUUCCCGUCUCAAGUGCGGCACGGGACCUGAGUACAACAGGACCCUCAGAGCCACCAGCCGUGGCAACCACAGAGGUGACGAGGUUUCAACCACUUGCCAGCCUCUGGCGCCCACGGGAUUUUUGCAAAAAGCCUCAGUCCAGACAAGUUUUUGAAACUCAACUCGUCACGACUGUGGGCUUUCCACUAAGCAUGCACGCUUGUGUAUCUGUGUGUGUGUGUGUGUGUGCACACGCGUGUGCGAGUGUCUGUUCACAGGUACAAACAAGGAAGAACUAGAGGCUCCUGACAAAGGCUGUUUAACUCCCUCUUGGUGGAGCCUGGGUGAAUCGCCCUUCCCAGAGAGAGAGAGACCCCUGGGGACAGAAACCAAUCCCUGUUCACAUCAAAAGAGUCCUCCCGUGGGACAGACACUGAGCAGCCUUCCGGACAGUGUGGAGGAUUCCUGAGCUAGGCGGUCACUGAAGGGUGCCUGUGAGAGGACCCACUUUGCUACCAGAACCCUGUGACUUUGUAGAGGAGCCGGGGCCUGGCCGUCCUGGACGGGUGGGUGUUAGGCACUUAGAGCCAACAUUUUUCACCCGGGGAUUCGUCUAAUCCAGUUCAUGCUGGACAAACUGGGUCCCACUGAGUCAGCUGGGGCUGAGGCUUCCACCCUGCAGAAGUCACUCCAUCUGACAAGCUGCGGCCCAGCCCGGCCCGGCCCCUGCCACUCUGCUUUCUGAACAGUGGAGCCUCGCCUUGGGCUUUCUCUGUGGGAGGGUGUCCACUGGCCGGUGUCCAGGAGGCCAAACUGUGCUCCUUGAUGCUAUCUGCGGGGACAGGCUGGGGUGACUCCCUUAGGACCUGCAGUACCUGGAUGUCCUAGAGUCCCCAGAGGAAAAGGAAUUAGGAAAGGAGGCGUCACUUGCAAGACUUCUGCCCCUGGUCUGAGCCCGUCACACAGUCAGACCCUUGGCUGUGUGGCCGCGGCCUGAACCCGGCCAGGGACGGUUCCCAGCCUAAAGGGGAAAGCGGCUUCUUUAACUUCAAUUAAAGUUGGCUUUAUUUCACUUAAGGA